AUAUAUAUGUAUAUAUAUAUAUAUAAUCUAUAUCUCCUGAAUUAGUUCAUGGAGACUAAAUCCUCUCUGGCAUGUUGCUAUAGUUCAAGUUCUAGCAUCAUUCUUUUGAAAUGUGUGUACAUUUAUGUAUAUUAUGUACACCCAUGGGUUCAUAUACACAUACAUAGGUGUAUAUUAGUUUCUAUAAAACGAUAAGUAUAAAUGUCAACAUAAUAUGAAUAUUUACAGCUAACAAUGCUGUAAAUGUGAAUCUUUUAAUUAUUCAUGUAAACAGCUUGUUAGGCGUACUAUUAUUUGUGGACUAAGUGAAUGUAACAUAGUCGUGUGACUCCAAACAUUGAUUCCUCUAAACGGGUUUAAACAAAACGAGAAAAAGUGUUUGUAAAUGUCUAUGAACUAAUAUUCUGUUUUCUGUGAAGUUCAUGGACCAACGGAAUGAAACUAACAGGAGAUAUAAAGUUAAGCUGUUCAUCACAUGACAUGUAAUCACCAGCACGUUGGUGCAGAUACGAGUAAAUGCUCUUUAUAUAUAUAAACACUUGGCUGCCUCUCGACGGGAGCUCAACUCCGUUUAAAACAAACUCAAAAGAUCUUUAAGAAGAAACAGAGCCAAUCUGUCGCCAACAUGACUAAUCCUGCUGGCAGAGGCUCUGCGCGGUUACCACGGUUACCACGGCAACGAGGGGGGUGUGCCAUCCACGACGCGGUACGAAGGGCUGCAGGAGGAUGCGUUUACCGUCGGCCCAUCCGUGUCAAUAAGAGGAAUACUGAGCUGGAGUCAUCGCAGCCGUAGGGUCACAGCAGCGGCACAUGUUUGUAGUCGUCUCUAAUCAACUAAUGACUUCAUUAAUCCGCUUAAGCUCCUCUUUUGUGGAACCAGCUUCCACUUUCUGUCCAGGGGGCAGAUUCGGUCAGCUCAUCUAAGAUAAAGCUUAAGACUUUCCUCUUUGAUAUGGCUUAUAGUUAGGGCUGGCUCAGGUUAGUCUGGACCAGCCCUUAGUUAAGCUGCUGUAGGCUUAGACUCACAGGUUUCCAUGCAUCAUGGUUCUAUCUGGAUCCUGUUCCUGCCUCCUGCCGUGGCCCUGCUGACACCUGCUGCUGCCAUCAUCAGUAUUAUUACUAUUUUAAAUAUGAAUCAUAUUACUAUUACUGUCCACAUAAACCACCAUUUCCUAAAGGCGUGUGCUUUUCCUCCCCACAGGCUUCUGUGGAUGGUGGUUCUAUGUGAUGGUGGUUCUAUGAGGUGGGGGUUCUAUCUGAUGGUGGUUCUAUGGGAUGGUGGUUCUAUCUGAUGGUGGUUCUAUGAGGUGGUGGUUCUAUCUGAUGGUGGUUCUAUGAGGUGGUCGUUCUAUGUGAUGGUGGUUCUAUGAGGUGGUGGUUCUAUCUGAUGGUGGUUCUAUGAGGUGGUCGUUCUAUGUGAUGGUGGUUCUAUGAGGUGGUGGUUCUAUGGGAUGGUGGUUCUAUCUGAUGGUGGUUCUAUGUGAUGGUGGUUCUCUCUGAUGGUGGUUCUAUGUGAUGGUGGUUCUAUGUGAUGGUGGUGGUCCCUGCAGUGGUCCUGCAGUACACCUGCUCACUACUCCCAUUAUUUGAAUCAUCUCUGUCAUAUGAAUUGAAUGUAUCGUUCAUCUUCCACAUUGUUCAUUCUGUCCUCAUGACAUCAUCGUAGUCUGUCCAUCAGGAGACGGAUCCUCCUCUGACGUUCUCACUGAGGGUUCUUCCCUUUUCUCCCCAUGGAAGGGUUUCAUUGUUUGGGGAGUUUUUCCUGUGAGGGUAUCUGGACAGAGGAUGUCACAUGUGUACAGACUAAUACCCACUGAGGCAAAUUUGUAAUUUGCAAUUUUAGCUCUACAAAAUAAAAUAAAUUGAAUUGAAUUCAUUAUUUUCUAAUUGAUUUGUGACUUGGUCAACGUUUCUCUUAUAUCAUAAUCAAUUAGAUAUUUUUAUAGCUCAACAAUCCAAAAUCCCACAUUUCCCUUAGAGGGAUUUUAGAAUCUGUUUCAGAACAUAGCGACAUGAUGGAGCCUCACGUCUCUCAUCCGAUCUCCUAUAAUAAUCUACAAUAAUACAGGAGAACUCUAUUGGACCGAGCGGAUGUGUUUUAGUGAUAAACCACACAGGUGACCUCAGCAGGUCGCAGGUCUGCCGUGCGUUCAUGGUCCUCUUGAUUGUUCACCCUACAGAUGACUUGUUAGGCCACAAUUAGGCCUGACCUCUGACCUCACCUGCCACCAGAGUGCCAUUCAGGUUCCAUUUAAAAUCAUUUAAAUGCCUUUUUAGUAAUACACCAAUCAUAUAAUAAUACAUACGUCGAGGUUCAAGGAGAAGAGGUUUACAUUACGUUUCCAUGAAAUAUGAGAUCAUUCUGUCAACACAGUUGACAGAAUGAUCCAUAAAGAAGAAAACCCGUCUGUCUUCCCGCAGCCUGACCCUGCUCCGGUGCGCUCUGUUAAUGGGCCCUGAACGCCUCACGGGGCCCUCUCUUUGUCCCCUCCAUCUCACCGCCUCCGUCUCUGCAGAGAAACACCGACGCUGAGAGCACGCAUUAGUCCACAGGAAGCGCCAGCUGGUCACUAAUGUAUGACCCGCCGACCUGUAAUGGAGGUCUGUUUGAUACGCGCACGGGGGCCGCUCUCCAAUCACAGCCCAUUAGACACGAGGGUGCCACACGAAAAUGUAGUACUGCAUCAGUACCUGCAGAAAGCUGUAUGUUGAGGGCUCUUAUUGUGAAAGGACAAAGUGGAUCCGGUCUGCCCGAGGUAGAAGAGAUAAAGAUAAUGUUUCUUUAUACGGACUGAGAGGGAACUUCUAGUUCGUUUUGGUGAAGCUUCAUCUUUAAAAUCUGCAUCCUCUGUAGUGACCAGCAGGGGGCGACUCCUCUGCUCCCAUAGACGUCUAUGAGGAAAUGACUCUACUUCUCUGUAGUGACCAGCAGGGGGCGACUCCUCUGCUCCCAUAGACGUCUAUGAGGAAAUGACUCUACUUCUCUGUAGUGACCAGCAGGGGGCGACUCC
Gasterosteus aculeatus aculeatus (three-spined stickleback) is the source of this 3011-nucleotide long non-coding RNA. The record is from Ensembl. Lineage: Eukaryota; Metazoa; Chordata; Actinopteri; Perciformes; Gasterosteidae.